RNAcentral lists this transfer RNA (74 nucleotides) under Marmota monax (woodchuck). Its description in RNAcentral is "tRNA.Ala". The stretch from base 10 to 67 matches the Rfam family "tRNA", at positions 8 to 63 of the family's 71-position model. Rfam says of the family: Transfer RNA (tRNA) molecules are approximately 80 nucleotides in length. The record is from RNAcentral. Lineage: Eukaryota; Metazoa; Chordata; Mammalia; Rodentia; Sciuridae.
CUGGGGCUAUAGCUCAGUUGGUUGAGUGCUUGCCUUGCAUGCAAGAGGCCCUGGGUUUGAUCCCCAGCACAAGA